UACGAAGGGUGCAAGCGUUGUUCGGAAUCAUUGGGCGUAAAGCGCGCGCAGGCGGAUCAGCAAGUCAGAUGUGAAAUCUCGAAGCUCAACUUCGAAACUGCGUCUGAAACUGCUAGUCUAGAAUGUCGGAGGGGGCAGGGGAAUUUCACGUGUAGGGGUAAAAUCCGUAGAGAUGUGAAGGAACACCGGGGGCGAAGGCGCCUGCCUGGACGACUAUUGACGCUGAGGCACGAAAGCGUGGGGAGCAAACAGG
Molecule: ribosomal RNA, 253 nt
Filed under: uncultured bacterium
Lineage: Bacteria
Description: partial 16S ribosomal RNA
Rfam family: Bacterial small subunit ribosomal RNA
Source: RNAcentral